RNAcentral lists this ribosomal RNA (468 nucleotides) under uncultured bacterium. RNAcentral's name for it is "partial 16S ribosomal RNA". It matches the Rfam family "Bacterial small subunit ribosomal RNA", at positions 28 to 507 of the family's 1533-position model. The record is from RNAcentral.
GACGAACGCUGGCGGCGUGCUUAACACAUGCAAGUCGAACGGAAAGACCCUGCUUUUGUGGGGUGCUCGAGUGGCGAACGGGUGAGUAACACGUGAGUAACCUGCCCUUGACUUUGGGAUAACUUCAGGAAACUGGGGCUAAUACCGGAUAGGAGCUCCUGCUGCAUGGUGGGGGUUGGAAAGUUUCGGCGGUAGUGGCUGGACUCGCGGGUUAUCAGCUUGUUGGUGAGGUAGUGGCUUACCAAGGCUUUGAAGGGUAGCCGGCCUGGGAGGGUGACCGGGCACAUGAGGACUACGGGAGGCACCAGAAGCGUAUGGGAGGCAGUGGGGGGAAAUCUUGCAGAAUGGCGGGACGCCUGUGACAGCAGCCCCGGGUGCGGAAAGCCGGGUUUCGAGGUGAAAACAACUUUCGAAGGAGACAAGGACGUCGUGACGGUACUGGGUAAGAAAGCCACGGCUAACUACGUG